Molecule: ribosomal RNA, 267 nt
Filed under: uncultured bacterium
Lineage: Bacteria
Description: partial 16S ribosomal RNA
Rfam family: Bacterial small subunit ribosomal RNA
Source: RNAcentral
UACAGAGGUCUCAAGCGUUGUUCGGAUUCAUUGGGCGUAAAGGGUGCGUAGGCGGCGCGGUAAGUCGGGUGUGAAAUCUCGGAGCUUAACUCCGAAACUGCAUUCGAUACUGCCGUGCUUGAGGACUGGAGAGGAGACUGGAAUUUACGGUGUAGCGGUGAAAUGCGUAGAUAUCGUAAGGAAGACCAGUGGCGAAGGCGGGUCUCUGGACAGUUCCUGACGCUGAGGCACGAAGGUCAGGGGAGCAAACGGGAUUAGAACCAGUAC